RNAcentral lists this ribosomal RNA (386 nucleotides) under Melonycteris melanops (black-bellied fruit bat). RNAcentral's name for it is "partial 12S ribosomal RNA". It matches the Rfam family "Bacterial small subunit ribosomal RNA", at positions 794 to 1382 of the family's 1533-position model. The record is from RNAcentral. Lineage: Eukaryota; Metazoa; Chordata; Mammalia; Chiroptera; Pteropodidae.
ACUUAGCCCUAAACCAAAAUAGCUAUAUAACAAUGCUAUUCGCCAGAGUACUACUAGCAACAGCUUAAAACUCAAAGGACUUGGCGGUGCUUUAUAUCCCUCUAGAGGAGCCUGUUCUAUAAUCGAUAUACCCCGAUAAACCUCACCAACUCUAGCUAAUACAGCCUAUAUACCGCCAUCUUCAGCAAACCCUAAAAAGGAACUACAGUAAGCAAGAACAUCAACCAUAAAAACGUUAGGUCAAGGUGUAGCCUAUGAGUUGGAAAGAAAUGGGCUACAUUUUCUAACAUAGAAUAUAACGAAAAUUUUCGUGAAACCGAAAAUAGAAGGAGGAUUUAGUAGUAAACUAAGAAUAGAGAGCUUGGUUGAAUAAGGCCAUGAAGCAC